UGCGUAGGCGGGUUUCUAAGUCAGAGGUGAAAGCCUGGAGCUCAACUCCAGAACUGCCUUUGAUACUGGAAGUCUUGAGUAUGGCAGAGGUGAGUGGAACUGCGAGUGUAGAGGUGAAAUUCGUAGAUAUUCGCAAGAACACCAGUGGCGAAGGCGGCUCACUGGCUCGAUACUGACGCUGAGGUGCGAAAGCGUGGGAGCAAACA
Molecule: ribosomal RNA, 206 nt
Filed under: uncultured bacterium
Lineage: Bacteria
Description: partial 16S ribosomal RNA
Rfam family: Bacterial small subunit ribosomal RNA
Source: RNAcentral